CCCUUAGAUGUCCUGGGCCGCACGCGCGCUACACUGAUGCAUUCAACGAGCUUUACCUUGGCCGAGAGGCCUGGGCAAUCUUUUAAACCUGCAUCGUGAUAGGGAUAGAUUAUUGCAAUUAUUAAUCUUGAACGAGGAAUUCCUAGUAAUCGCAGUUCAUCAAACUGCAAUGAUUACGUCCCUGCCCUUUGUACACACCGCCCGUCGCACCUACCGAUUGAAUGGUCCGGUGAGGACUCGGGAUUGUGGUUUAGCUCCUUCAUUGGGGCCUGACUGCGAGAACUUGUCCGAACCUUAUCAUUUAGAGGAAGGUGAAGUCGUAACA
This 325-nucleotide ribosomal RNA is filed under the name uncultured eukaryote. Its description in RNAcentral is "partial 18S ribosomal RNA". It matches the Rfam family "Eukaryotic small subunit ribosomal RNA", at positions 1470 to 1796 of the family's 1831-position model. The record is from RNAcentral.